GCGGACGAACGCUGGCGGUAUGCCUAAUACAUGCAAGUCGAACGUGAAGCACUCUGCUUGCAGAGUGUGGAUGAGUGGCGAACGGGUGAGUAACACGUGGGUACCUGCCCAUAAGAGGGGGAUAACAUCCGGAAACGGGUGCUAAUACCGCAUAAGCGCAUGCUUAAAGAUGGCCUUGGCUAUCGCUUAUGGAUGGACCCGCGGCGUAUUAGCUAGUUGGUGAGGUAAUGGCUCACCAAGGCGAUGAUACGUAGCCGACCUGAGAGGGUGAUCGGCCACACUGGGACUGAGACACGGCCCAGACUCCUACGGGAGGCAGCAGUAGGGAAUCUUCCACAAUGGGCGAAAGCCUGAUGGAGCAAUACCGCGUGAGUGAAGAAGGUCUUCGGAUCGUAAAGCUCUGUUGUUAGAGAAGAAACGCAGAACAGUAACUGGUUCUGCGCUGACGGUAUCUAACCAGAAAGUCACGGCUAACUACGUGCCAGCAGCCGCGGUAAUACGUAGGUGACAAGCGUUGUCCGGAUUUAUUGGGCGUAAAGCGAGCGCAGGCGGUCUUUUAAGUCUGAUGUGAAAGCCCACGGCUCAACCGUGGAUGGCAUUGGAAACUGGAAGACUUGAAUGCAGAAGAGGUAAGUGGAAUUC
Molecule: ribosomal RNA, 642 nt
Filed under: uncultured bacterium
Lineage: Bacteria
Description: bacterial SSU rRNA
Rfam family: Bacterial small subunit ribosomal RNA
Source: RNAcentral